GCCCCUGUAGCUCAGUUGGAUAGAGCACUGGCCUCCGAAGCCAGGAGCCCGCGUUCAAGUCGCGGCAGGGGUA
RNAcentral lists this transfer RNA (73 nucleotides) under Candidatus Acetothermia bacterium. RNAcentral's name for it is "tRNA-Arg". It matches the Rfam family "tRNA". Rfam says of the family: Transfer RNA (tRNA) molecules are approximately 80 nucleotides in length. The record is from RNAcentral. Lineage: Bacteria; Candidatus Bipolaricaulota.